CUUUUUUAAAUAAGUAUCCACGA
Molecule: small nuclear RNA, 23 nt
Filed under: Arabidopsis thaliana (thale cress)
Lineage: Eukaryota; Viridiplantae; Streptophyta; Magnoliopsida; Brassicales; Brassicaceae
Description: snRNA_18389
Source: RNAcentral